RNAcentral lists this ribosomal RNA (540 nucleotides) under uncultured Pseudomonas sp. Its description in RNAcentral is "bacterial SSU rRNA". It matches the Rfam family "Bacterial small subunit ribosomal RNA", at positions 341 to 869 of the family's 1533-position model. The record is from RNAcentral. Lineage: Bacteria; Pseudomonadati; Pseudomonadota; Gammaproteobacteria; Pseudomonadales; Pseudomonadaceae.
ACGGGGAGGCAGCAGUGGGGAAUAUUGGACAAUGGGCGCAAGCGUGAUCCAGCCAUACCGCGUGGGUGAAGAAGGCCUUCGGGUUGUAAAGCCCUUUUGUUGGGAAAGAAAUCCAUCUGGUUAAUACCCGGGUGGGAUGACGGUACCCAAAGAAUAAGCACCGGCUAACUUUGUGACAGCAGCCGCGGUAAUACGAAGGGUGCAAGCGUUACUCGGAAUUACUGGGCGUAAAGCGUGCGUAGGUGGUCGUUUAAGUCCGUUGUGAAAGCCCUGGGCUCAACCUGGGAACUGCAGUGGAUACUGGGCGACUAGAAUGUGGUAGAGGGUAGCGGAAUUCCUGGUGUAGCAGUGAAAUGCGUAGAGAUCAGGAGGAACAUCCAUGGCGAAGGCAGCUACCUGGACCAACAUUGACACUGAGGCACGAAAGCGUGGGGAGCAAACAGGAUUAGAUACCCUGGUAGUCCACGGCCUAAACGAUGCGAACUGGAUGUUUUGGCAAUUUGGCACGCUGUAUGGAAGGUAGGAAACUUUUUUGAAUGC